This 254-nucleotide ribosomal RNA is filed under the name uncultured bacterium. RNAcentral's name for it is "partial 16S ribosomal RNA". It matches the Rfam family "Bacterial small subunit ribosomal RNA", at positions 524 to 776 of the family's 1533-position model. The record is from RNAcentral.
UACAGAGGGUGCGAGCGUUAAUCGGAAUUACUGGGCGUAAAGCGCGCGUAGGCGGCUUUUCAAGUCGAUUGUGAAAUCCCCGGGCUUAACCUGGGAACUGCAGUCGAGACUGUCUAGCUAGAGUAUGGGAGAGGGAAGUGGAAUUUCAGGUGUAGCGGUGAAAUGCGUAGAUAUCGAGAGGAACACCUGCGGCGAAGGCGGGUUGCUGGGCUGACACUGACGCUGACAGCGCGAAAGCUAGGGGAGCGAACGGG